AAUAGCCGCCCUCCUUGGGCGUUUCCUCCUUAGACUUGGCCGGUCGUCCUUUUGGGCGGCCGGCCUUUUUUGUUUGGCGC
RNAcentral lists this small RNA (80 nucleotides) under Allobosea sp. BK604. RNAcentral's name for it is "Bosea sp. BK604 suhB". It matches the Rfam family "Makes More Granules Regulator RNA (mmgR)". From Rfam's summary of the family: SuhB later renamed mmgR (makes more granules regulator) was a putative non-coding RNA found multiple times in the Agrobacterium tumefaciens genome and related alpha-proteobacteria. Lineage: Bacteria; Pseudomonadati; Pseudomonadota; Alphaproteobacteria; Hyphomicrobiales; Alloboseaceae. The record is from RNAcentral.